Molecule: ribosomal RNA, 1268 nt
Filed under: metagenome
Description: bacterial LSU rRNA
Rfam family: Bacterial large subunit ribosomal RNA
Source: RNAcentral
GGAUUGGGAGGGUUCUACGGAACCCGUUUGGUGAAUCUAGUGCCGAGAAAAGCCUUCUAUGUGUUGAAUUUCUAGUACCCGUACCCCAAACCGACACAGGUGGGUGGGUAGAGCAUACCUAGGGGCGCGUGAUAACUCUCUCUAAGGAACUCGGCAAAAUGGCCCUGUAACUUCGGGAUAAGGGGUGCCUGCGUGAGCAGGCCGCAGUGAAAUGGCUCUGGCGACUGUUUACCAAAAACACAGGUCUCUGCUAAGUCGUAAGACGAUGUAUAGGGGCUGACUCCUGCCCAGUGCCGGAAGGUUAAGGAAGUUGGUUAGCGCAAGCGAAGCUGGCGACCGAAGCCCCGGUGAACGGCGGCCGUAACUAUAACGGUCCUAAGGUAGCGAAAUUCCUUGUCGGGUAAGUUCCGACCCGCACGAAAGGAGUAACGAUCAGAGCGCUGUCUCGGAGAGAGACACGGCGAAAUAGGAUUGUCCGUGAAGAUACGGACUACCUGCACCCGGACAGAAAGACCCUAUGAAGCUUUACUGUAACUUGGAAUUGUGUUCGGACUUUGUCUGCGCAGAAUAGGUGGGAGGCUAUGAAACGUUCCUCGCGGGGAACUGGAGCCAUCGUUGAGAUACCACUCUGGCAGAGUCUGGAUUCUAACCUACGGGGACAGUUCCAGGUGGGCAGUUUGACUGGGGCGGUCGCCUCCUAAAAUUAACGGAGGCGCGCAAAGGUUCCCUCAGGCUGGUUGGAAAUCAGCCAUAGAGUGUAAAAGCAUAGGGAGCUUGACUGUGAGACCUACAAGUCGAGCAGGGACGAAAGUCGGCUUUAGUGAUCCGACGGCACUGAGUGGAAGGGCCGUCGCUCAACGGAUAAAAGUUACUCUAAGGAUAACAGGCUGAUCUCCCCCAAGAGUUCACAUCGACGGGGAGGUUUGGCACCUCGAUGUCGGCUCGUCGCAACCUGGGGCGGUAGUACGUCCCAAGGGUUGGGCUGUUCGCCCAUUAAAGCGGCACGUGAGCUGGGUUCAGAACGUCAUGGGACAGUUCGGUCCAUAUCCGGUGUAGGCGUAGGAGCAUUGAAAGGAUCUCUCCUUAGUACGAGAGGACCGGGAGGGACGUACCUCUGGUGUACCUGUUAUCGUGCCAACGGUAAACGCAGGGUAGCCAUGUACGGAGUGGAUAACCGCUGAAAGCAUCUAAGUGGGAAGCCCACCUUAAGAUGAGUGCUCCCUUGAGGCCACGGGAAGACGACCCGUUUGAUAGGCGCUAGGUGGAAG